This is a long non-coding RNA of Xenopus tropicalis (tropical clawed frog), 2245 nucleotides long. RefSeq lists it as uncharacterized. Lineage: Eukaryota; Metazoa; Chordata; Amphibia; Anura; Pipidae. The transcript is spliced from 2 exons. The record is from RefSeq and is a predicted model, not a curated record.
UUUGUUGGUUCAAGAAUAAAAGGUUAAAUGGCAGAGGGAAUUAUUUGCUGUGUAACAGUGUCAUUUAGAGAUAAACAGUGCCUCAUAAACAUUAUGACAGUGUCCCUUUUAGUAAAAACAUCCAGCCUCACUUGACUCGUUUUGGGCGCGUCUGCCCCUAAUCAUACGCAAUAUUAUCAUUGACAUGAUUAAGGGCGGAUGCACAUAAACACGUCAGGUGACUGAUGAUGCUGGAUUAUUUUAAUACAUUUCAAAAAAGAUCUGCAUUUCAACUGAAUCCUUGGCGUACGGAGGCCUCUUUCCCUUUCUCUCAGAUUGUUUUUACAUCUGUAACCUUUUUAUUGGUCAUUAGCUAAAACCCCCACCCAACUGAAUUAUAAACCUCCAAGGGGUCUUGAAAUGACAAUAUCUGACUGCUCUAAGGGAAAUGCCAGGUUAGUAGGAAAUUCAUUUAUUGGCAAAGCCCAGAAAGUCUCACCAAAUGUGCCACUAGGGGGUGCUGUUUGAAUAGAGCUUAUUAAUCAUCACUGGGCAUAACAUAAUAUUAGGUGGUAAUAUUUGGGGUGAAAAGCUCUGUCCUUAUUUCCCCAGUCCUGUUAUUAAUUGGGGCCCAGAUUCAAUUUCUGUACCAGCUGUACUUACAGUGUAAUAUGAUGAAUUCUGCUCUGUGUGGAUCUGUGAAUUGCGAUAUUAUAUAUAUAUAUAUCUAUAUCAGAGCUGGGGAGCGGGCAAAGUACCCCACAUACCCUUAGGGCCCCAAAUCAGCAUAAAUAAAUAUUGUGCCUUCCCUUCUGCCUUUUACUGAACCCCAACUCCCAGAAGGGGCAGUGAAUUGCAGGUGGGGGAUCCACAGACACCAGAACAAAUCCCAUUACAUUGCAUUGAGCCCCACUAGGUACCCCUUACAUUGCAUUGAGCCCCACUAGGUACCCCUUACAUUGCAUUGAGCCCCACUAGGUACCCCUUACAUUGCAUUGAGCCCCACUAGGUACCCCUUACAUUGCAUUGAGCCCCACUAGGUACCCCUUACAUUGCAUUGAGCCCCACUAGGUACCCCUUACAUUGCAUUGAGCCCCACUAGGUACCCCUUACAUUGCAUUUGGCCCCACUAGGUACCCCUUACAUUGCAUUGGGCCCCACUAGGUACCCCUUACAUUGCAUUGGGCCCCACUAGGUACCCCUUACAUUGCAUUGAGCCCCACUAGGUACCCCUUACAUUGCAUUGAGCCCCACCAGGUACCCCUUACAUUGCAUUGAGCCCCACCAGGUACCCCUUACAUUGCAUUGAGCCCCACCAGGUACCCCUUACAUUGCAUUGGGCCCCACCAGGUACCCCUUACAUUGCAUUGAGCCCCACCAGUUACCCCUUACAUUGCAUUGAGCCCCACCAGGUACCCCAUACAGGCAGAGGGGCCAAAUAAGCCAAUAUUUGGUGUUACAGGCCUUUCCUUACAGCAGGGUUUCUUAAAGCAGUAGUUACCUUUAAUUCAACUUUUAGUAUGUUGUAGAAAUGUGUAUUCAAAGUAACUUUUUAAUUAGUCUCCUCCCCUAAAUUAGAGAGGUUUCAGAUGUUUUUUUUUCCUUCCUUUGGAUCAACUAGUAGUUAGGCAGGUUAUAUAUAGGCAUUAAGGUUGAACUUGACGGACAUACGUCUUUUUUCAACCUAACUUACUAUGUAGCGAUUUGUUUUUCCCCGGAGAAUGAGGAUCAUGUGCAACAUUUACACAGUGUAAAGUCAGCUCAGUAAAAUAAAAAAUGGAAUUUACAUGUUAAUUAUAUAAGUAAUUUUAUUUACAAUCAUUAACGAAUCCCACAGGUUAUUAUGGGAGCUCUGAGUUCUAUCAGGAUCCAACACUGUAGUACAGGAGAUCCCAAACGUCUCGUUGGGGGAAGCCCCGCAGGUGGAACCAACGUUUGGAAUAAGCAGUGAGCUCCAUGUUGGACUCUUCCUCACAGAUGUCAGGGAGGCUCUAUGGGCUUUAGAGCAUGAACUUGACAAAGAUUCCAGGGAAUUUUCCUACAAUCAAGAAUCUCUGAGAGAAGUCCUACAGGACAGAGGUGUAACAAUAUCUGAUUGGGCAGACUGGAAAGUCCCAUUGGUCUAGAACUGCUUGUGGAUAUUGGUCUGGGUGAUGCUCUAUGUUCCCAGUAGACCAUGCUGCUGUCGACGUCAAACGCUGUUAAUCUUAUGGCGCAAACAAGUCCAAAUACCGUCUCCUCUCCAAAAAAUAAAGAAUACAUAGUA